Molecule: long non-coding RNA, 660 nt
Filed under: Triticum aestivum (bread wheat)
Lineage: Eukaryota; Viridiplantae; Streptophyta; Magnoliopsida; Poales; Poaceae
Description: long non-coding RNA (TAES_LNC004557)
Source: RNAcentral
GAUACAUUCUUUCCUCCAAGAGUCCACACAAUCAAAGCAGGUAUUUCCUUUUGAGGGGGGCCAUCAAAUUCUUCUUCUUGUUCAUUCAUCAGUAUUUCAUCGAAUACUGGAGUUACAUCAGCAGGUCUUUGCAAUGGAGGUACAGGUGUCUGCAAAAUUGUAGUAAUUAAUACAAAGAAUGCUCUUGCUUCACACAUUAAAGAUAGCAGGUCUUUGCAAUGGAGGUACAGGUGUCUGCAAAAUUGUACUAGUAAUCAAUACAAAGAAUGCAAACAUUUGUAGUAUUAGAUAGAUGAAAAUAUCUUAUCCUAAAGAAAAGAUAGAUGAAAACAUUUGGAGUAGGAUAACACAGAUAAAAAGAUUAUAAAUGACAGAUAACAAAACCCAUCUUAGUCAUUUAGCAAAUCCCAGGAUAAGAUAAUAAUGAUUUUCAUUAAGUUUUGAGACUGUAUUGAUAUGCUUUAUAUACUGGUUAAGCAGUUACAGGUAACUGAAAGAAAUACCUUACAUCAGAAAUGCUUGGUUUUCUUAGCAAAUGGAUCAGAAUACAUAUAUACACAACAAAGACAUCAAUAGUUAGCCUAUGCGCAAUAAAGACAUCAACACUUUCAAGAUUUUUUUUUUUUUUGAGUUAACACUUUCAAGAUUUAGUAGUAUCAG